This 71-nucleotide transfer RNA is filed under the name Urocitellus parryii (Arctic ground squirrel). Its description in RNAcentral is "Spermophilus parryii (Arctic ground squirrel) tRNA". It matches the Rfam family "tRNA". From Rfam's summary of the family: Transfer RNA (tRNA) molecules are approximately 80 nucleotides in length. Their secondary structure includes four short double-helical elements and three loops (D, anti-codon, and T loops). Further hydrogen bonds mediate the characteristic L-shaped molecular structure. tRNAs have two regions of fundamental functional importance: the anti-codon, which is responsible for specific mRNA codon recognition, and the 3' end, to which the tRNAs corresponding amino acid is attached (by aminoacyl-tRNA synthetases). tRNAs cope with the degeneracy of the genetic code in two manners: having more than one tRNA (with a specific anti-codon) for a particular amino acid; and 'wobble' base-pairing, i.e. permitting non-standard base-pairing at the 3rd anti-codon position. The record is from Rfam by way of RNAcentral. RNAcentral also lists the same sequence under 1 other name. Lineage: Eukaryota; Metazoa; Chordata; Mammalia; Rodentia; Sciuridae.
GUAGAUGUAGUUUAGUGGUAGAAUACUUGUCUAGCAUGUCCCAAGUCCUGGGUUCAAAUCCCAGUAUAACA